This 439-nucleotide ribosomal RNA is filed under the name uncultured bacterium. RNAcentral describes it as "partial 16S ribosomal RNA". It matches the Rfam family "Bacterial small subunit ribosomal RNA", at positions 339 to 795 of the family's 1533-position model. The record is from RNAcentral.
CUACGGGCGGCAGCAGUGGGGAAUAUUGCACAAUGGAGGAAACUCUGAUGCAGCAACGCCGCGUGGAGGAUGACACUUUUCGGAGCGUAAACUCCUUUUAUAUAGGAAGAAGAUGACGGUACUAUAUGAAUAAGCGCCGGCUAACUCCGUGCCAGCAGCCGCGGUAAUACGGAGGGCGCAAGCGUUACUCGGAAUCACUGGGCGUAAAGAGCGUGUAGGCGGAUUAAAAAGUCAGAAGUGAAAUCCUAUAGCUUAACUAUAGAACUGCUUCUGAAACUCUUAAUCUAGAAUAUGGGAGAGGUAGAUGGAAUUUCUGGUGUAGGGGUAAAAUCUGUAGAGAUCAGAAGGAAUACCGAUUGCGAAGGCGAUCUACUAGAACAUUAUUGACGCUGAGACGCGAAAGCGUGGGGAGCAAACAGGAUUAGACACCCCGGUAGUC